This is a long non-coding RNA of Salvia miltiorrhiza (redroot sage), 1272 nucleotides long. RefSeq lists it as uncharacterized. The record is from RefSeq and is a predicted model, not a curated record. NCBI's taxonomy places the organism in Eukaryota, Viridiplantae, Streptophyta, Magnoliopsida, Lamiales, Lamiaceae. The transcript is spliced from 2 exons.
CAGCAUAGGGCCGAUAUCGUCUAUCUCUCGUAGAUGGUAACAUACAAGCUCAUAAAAGUUUUGGCAAGUCAAUAACUUUAAUAUAACAUCAUUCAUAUAAUAACAUAAUUAAAUAGUGCGCACUUCAAAUUCUGAGUUUAGAAAGCCCACCUGAUCGUGGUCUGACGAUCCAGGUAAUUCUGAACUAUGGAUUCACCUUCUUUUGUAUAUGACCUUCAAUAUAGAUUAACUAACUAAGUAAAUAACGAGAAAAUAAUAUGGAUUUAACUUAAAAAGUACGUAUGCGGGUCUUAAGGUGAUAUUCCUAUUUGGAAUUUAUGGACUGAAGACUAAUUGCUAUUUGACAAGCUUAUCAACAAAUGCCAACAUAGAUUAAAGGUCCAACUAUAUAAAUUAAUCUAUCAUCUAAUUUAUAAUCAUAAGCUUAAUUUUAAAAUAACUCAGUUAACUUAAAUAAAUUAAAAGCCUUAUACUCUUCCUUUUAAUAAAAUGAAUCAAAUUAACUUCUCUCUCUUAUUUCCUCACGCACACAUACAUAUACAUUCUCUCUCUGUGUUACUUCUCCCUCUCUCUCAGCUCUGUCGUCUCUCUUUCUCUCUCCCUGUCUCCGGCGACCAUCGCCGGCCUUCGUCGCCUCCGGCGCGGCGAGGUCGGCCUCUCCUCUCCCCCUUUCCUUUCUUUCCAUUUCUCUUUUCCCUAAGUCUCAAUCCCCAAAUUAUAAAAUCAAAAUCCUAGGGUUUCUACCUCUCUUCAUCCCCUCUGGAAUUCGUCUCUCCGGCGAAGCCUGCCGCCCCGCCGUCAUCUCUGUCACGCCGCCGCCUCUUCUGACUCAGGAACUGAGGUUUCAAGGGAUUACUCAGAGUGGCAGUCGUCUACUGCUCAAGAUUCAAUUUUUAUAUGAUGUAAAUCUGUUUAUUUAUUGAUUAUCGAGAAACUGGGAUUGUGUUGCUGAAUCUGAAAAGGGAUGUCUGUAGCUUAUUACUAUUACUACUAUUUUCACUAUUUUUUACUGUUAUUAAGUACAUAAGGAGAAAAGAAAGACUACCUUCUUUAUACAAACUGCACAAGCUGCUGUGGACGAUUAUAGAUGAUUUGCUUUGUUGUUUGGAAUUAGCAGAAUGGGGAAAAGAUGAGACUACUGUAACUCACCAUAUUUAUAAUCGUUUGAGUCGGUUAAAUGAAGUAGCUGGGUGGAAAGGUGAGAGAUACGUGUUAAAUCACAUGAUACGUGUUUCUUUCAUAUAAUAGAUGAUGCCUCAAUAGCUUAUCUGA